Molecule: long non-coding RNA, 266 nt
Filed under: Elaeis guineensis (African oil palm)
Lineage: Eukaryota; Viridiplantae; Streptophyta; Magnoliopsida; Arecales; Arecaceae
Description: long non-coding RNA (EGUI_LNC042492)
Source: RNAcentral
CACGUGGCAUCUUUACAGAUCUAUCAACUAGUUACAAAAUAACCAACAUAGAUUUCAGUUCUCCUAUCUCAAAUUUUUCGUAGACUGAGGUUGGAAGUAGGUUGACAGUAGCUUCUAAGUCUAACAAGGCUUGGUCAAAGAUGAUACCUCCUAUAACACAUGAAAUCAAAGGAGCAUCAGGAUCUUUCAUUUUCUAAGGUAAUGGAUUCAACAUGACUGCACUAACAUCCUCAGACAGCAUAAUUCUCUUUGUGGUUCCUGACUCA